AUGGUGAUCGGCGAUUUCAACCUGAUUAAGAAUUCUGAAGAUAAAAACAAUGGUAGAAUUAACCGUAGAUGGAUGAACAACUUCAGACGCACCCUCAAUAGAUCGACUUUGCAUGAGAUUCAGCUGAUUGGGCGUCAUUACAUGUGGAGCAAUGAGCAAGACCCGCCUACGCUUGUGAGGUUAGACCGCGAAUUUUGCAAUAUGGAGUGGGAACUUCUGUUCCCAGGUGCAAAACUGCUGACCCAGUCGUCCGCCAUCUCGGACCAUUGCCCCGUCCUCCUAGUAAAUGAUGUGAUAACUAAAAUGAACAGAAGAUUCCGCUUUGAAGCAUAUUGGCAAUAUAUCCAUGGUUUCCAGGAGGUUGUCAACCAGUCCUGGACCCAACCUGUGGGGGGCGCCUGCCCCAUCACUAGUUUCAACUUCAAACUACACCGGCUCAGCAAGGACCUGUGUGUUUGGAGCAAAACUCUCGUUGGAGACAUCCAAAAACAGCUGCCGAUGGUUAACGAAAUAAUUCUGCAGCUAGACACAGCGCACGACCACAGGGCUCUCAGUUCAGAGGAGAAGGAGCUAAGGUCAAAGCUGAAAGCUAGAUCGCUGGGGCUGGCCGUCCUCCUGAAAAUCAAGCAGAGGCAGAGAAGCAAAGUACUCGGGCUUAAAGCCGGCGAUGCCAAUACGAAAUAUUUCUAA
This 690-nucleotide ribosomal RNA is filed under the name Triticum aestivum (bread wheat). Its description in RNAcentral is "partial small subunit ribosomal RNA". The record is from RNAcentral. Lineage: Eukaryota; Viridiplantae; Streptophyta; Magnoliopsida; Poales; Poaceae.